UNUGAUUAUUAAAGAAUUUCGGUUAUCGAUGGGGAUGCGUUCCAUUAGGCAGUUGGUGAGGUAACGGCUCACCAAACCUUCGAUGGAUAGGGGUUCUGAGAGGAAGGUCCCCCACAUUGGAACUGAGACACGGUCCAAACUCCUACGGGAGGCAGCAGUGAGGAAUAUUGGUCAAUGGACGAGAGUCUGAACCAGCCAAGUAGCGUGAAGGAUGACUGCCCUAUGGGUUGUAAACUUCUUUUAUAUGGGAAUAAAGUUUUCCACGUGUGGAAUUUUGUAUGUACCAUAUGAAUAAGGAUCGGCUAACUCCGUGCCAGCAGCCGCGGUAAUACGGAGGAUCCGAGCGUUAUCCGGAUUUAUUGGGUUUAAAGGGAGCGUAGGUGGACAGUUAAGUCAGUUGUGAAAGUUUGCGGCUCAACCGUAAAAUUGCAGUUGAUACUGGCUGUCUUGAGUACAGUAGAGGUGGGCGGAAUUCGUGGUGUAGCGGUGAAAUGCUUAGAUAUCACGAAGAACUCCGAUUGCGAAGGCAGCUCACUGGACUGCAACUGACACUGAUGCUCGAAAGUGUGGGUAUCAAACAGGAUUAGAUACCCUGGUAGUCCACACAGUAAACGAUGAAUACUCGCUGUUUGCGAUAUACAGUAAGCGGCCAAGCGAAAGCAUUAAGUAUUCCACCUGGGGAGUACGCCGGCAACGGUGAAACUCAAAGGAAUUGACGGGGGCCCGCACAAGCGGAGGAACAUGUGGUUUAAUUCGAUGAUACGCGAGGAACCUUACCCGGGCUUAAAUUGCAAAUGAAUAAUCUGGAAACAGGUUAGCCGCAAGGCAUUUGUGAAGGUGCUGCAUGGUUGUCGUCAGCUCGUGCCGUGAGGUGUCGGCUUAAGUGCCAUAACGAGCGCAACCCUUAUCUUUAGUUACUAACAGGUCAUGCUGAGGACUCUAGAGAGACUGCCGUCGUAAGAUGUGAGGAAGGUGGGGAUGACGUCAAAUCAGCACGGCCCUUACGUCCGGGGCUACACACGUGUUACAAUGGGGGGUACAGAAGGCAGCUACCUGGUGACAGGAUGCUAAUCCCA
Molecule: ribosomal RNA, 1076 nt
Filed under: Bacteroides thetaiotaomicron
Lineage: Bacteria; Pseudomonadati; Bacteroidota; Bacteroidia; Bacteroidales; Bacteroidaceae
Description: bacterial SSU rRNA
Rfam family: Bacterial small subunit ribosomal RNA
Source: RNAcentral